ACUCACCAGGUCAGGACACGGUAAGGAUUGACGGACUGAAGGCUCUUUCUCGAUUCCGUGGAAAGUGGUGCAUGGCCGUUUUUGGUUGGUGGAUCGAUCCGUCUGGUUAAUUCCGUUAACGAACGAGACCUCGGCACUCCGAAUAGCGCGGCGGACGUCGCGGCCUCCGGGCCGUCUUCCGCACGAGCUUCUUAAGAGGGACCGUCCCCCGCCGGGGAAGGAGGUGCGAGGCAACGACAGGUCUGUGAUGCCCUUAGAUGUUCUGGGCCGCACGCGCAUUACACUGACGCGUCCAACGGGUGACUCCCGACCCGAAGGGGCCGGGGAAUCCGCAAGGCGCGUCGUGAUGGGGAUUGAACGUUGCAAUUGUUGUUCACGAACGAGGAAUUCCUAGUAGGCGCGGGUCAUCAACCCGCGCCGAUUACGUCCCUG
RNAcentral lists this ribosomal RNA (432 nucleotides) under uncultured eukaryote. Its description in RNAcentral is "bacterial SSU rRNA". It matches the Rfam family "Eukaryotic small subunit ribosomal RNA", at positions 1213 to 1655 of the family's 1831-position model. The record is from RNAcentral.